RNAcentral lists this ribosomal RNA (425 nucleotides) under uncultured bacterium. Its description in RNAcentral is "partial 16S ribosomal RNA". It matches the Rfam family "Bacterial small subunit ribosomal RNA", at positions 354 to 796 of the family's 1533-position model. The record is from RNAcentral.
GUGGGGAAUCUUAGACAAUGGGCGCAAGCCUGAUCUAGCCAUGCCGCGUGAGCGAUGAAGGCCUUAGGGUUGUAAAGCUCUUUCGCUGGGGAAGAUAAUGACUGUACCCAGUAAAGAAGCCCCGGCUAACUCCGUGCCAGCAGCCGCGGUAAUACGGAGGGGGCUAGCGUUGUUCGGAAUUACUGGGCGUAAAGCGCGCGUAGGCGGAUUGGAAAGUUGGGGGUGAAAUCCCGGGGCUCAACCCCGGAACUGCCUUUGAAACUCCCAGUCUUGAGGUCGAGAGAGGUGGGUGGAAUUCCGAGUGUAGAGGUGAAAUUCGUAGAUAUUCGGAGGAACACCAGUGGCGAAGGCGGCCCACUGGCUCGAUACUGACGCUGAGGUGCGAAAGCGUGGGGAGCAAACAGGAUUAGAAACCCUAGUAGUCC